Molecule: non-coding RNA, 21 nt
Filed under: Dasypus novemcinctus (nine-banded armadillo)
Lineage: Eukaryota; Metazoa; Chordata; Mammalia; Cingulata; Dasypodidae
Also listed under: 12 other names
Gene: dno-miR-488-3p
Source: miRBase by way of RNAcentral
UUGAAAGGCUAUUUCUUGGUC